GCCGGGGCGUCCCCCGCGGGAGCCCGCAGCCACCCGGGACGCGCAUCCAGACGUGGCGCUUCGGACCGGGCACGCUGCGCCCGGGGGCUCGGCGGACCCCGCGUAGCCGCCGCUUCGGAGCUUGUGCGGCGCGGGCUGGCCAGCGGGGCGGCCAGGGCCCGGCCCGCCUCCCCAGCGCCCGCCCGGCUUCUCCCCCUGGCGGUGGGAGCCUCGGCGGCCGCUGGCGACACUAGGCGCACUGAAGCCCGAGCCGAGCCGAGCCCGAGCCGCCGCCGCCGCCGCCGCUGCUGCGCACCGCUCCCGGGCUCCCUCCCAGCGCGCCGGCCGGGGUGUGGGGGGCGGCGGGCCGGAGGGGCGAGGGCGGGCCAGGGGGCGCACACGGGGGUUGGCGCGGAAGACAGGACCCUCAGCCUCGAGGGAGCCCCUAGGUGACCAGGCAAAAUGGCAGUUCCUUCCAGCUGGUCCUCAGAUGGGCACAUCUAUUAGCCUCUGCUCUUGUAAGAAGUUAGCUGCAGAACCCACAUGUGAAUCCUUGUAGGACUCUGGAGAAGAUCAAAUGGGAGCUUAGAUGUGGAAGCUCUUUGGAAACCAAGAAACACUCUGAAAAUGAAAAGGGAUCUCAACUUUUCUCUUCCCGCUCCAGCUGCACUAUGUAUCCGUGCUUGGCUCUCAGUUGUUGGAUUCUCAUGUCUCCUUUUUCACAGUGGCUCAGGUGGAAGAGUAAACUGUUCCUGUUUCUCCAUCUUGACAGGAAGCAGAAGUUCUCCUUAGCUGAUUUUUCUUCUUGCCUUAUACUGGGUUCUUUAACACCAGAACAAAAAUAAAUAAAUAAAAGAAUCUUCCAGAAAUUCAUGAAGAGACUUCAGGUCAGGAAAGCCUGAACUUUCUCAUCCAACACCCGUUCAAGUCGGAGGAUGCUGAUUAAUUCAUGAUGGAAAGGUAUCAAUUUCACAGCCCAGACCUCUACAUUCUUGAAAUGCUCUUCUCAUGGGAGACAUUAAAUAAGCUUUGAAUUAACUUGCCAUGACACCCAGGAUGCAGCUGUAGGAACACCACUGGGUCCCUGGAUGUCAUGUAAGCCCUUAAGUAAAAGUGCCAUCAAAUGAUUUCUCAGAAAUUAUAAAGAAACAAAAGGACCAUAAACAAGAUAAGGUGGCAUGAGGAAACAUUACAAGUACCUUUCAGAGCUGACUGGCAAAGAAACUCCUGAGGUGACGGUUCUACCCCAAUAUUACUUCUUCGAAGAGCAACCUAACUCUUAGGUGGCCUAGAGGGGCAAGACUGGUGUGGCAAAUUGGGAUCAGCAGUGU
This 1310-nucleotide long non-coding RNA is filed under the name Homo sapiens (human). RNAcentral's name for it is "PREDICTED lncRNA (TCONS_00182858)". Lineage: Eukaryota; Metazoa; Chordata; Mammalia; Primates; Hominidae. The record is from RNAcentral.